Long non-coding RNA from Leucoraja erinaceus (little skate), 2183 nucleotides. RefSeq lists it as uncharacterized. The record is from RefSeq and is a predicted model, not a curated record. Lineage: Eukaryota; Metazoa; Chordata; Chondrichthyes; Rajiformes; Rajidae. The transcript is spliced from 3 exons.
GAGUACGUGAGCAGUUUUGUGACCAUGUUAUUUAAGGAACAAUAGAUAAUUAUUAGAGACACUUCACAGAAUGUUCACUUGGAUAUGGAUUGUCUUGUGUGAGAAAGGUUGAAACGGGUGGGGGUGUGCUCAUUGUAACUUAAAACAAUGAGAGCUCAUCACACUGAAACAUAAAAAUCCUGAGGGGGUGUGGCAGCCGUGUGUUGGAAAGAUGAUCCUGCUUGUAGUAAAGUCUGGGACCAAAACACACCAACGCAAAAUAAGGUGGAGGUGGCAUUUAUGAAUGAGACAAGGAAGAAUAUCUUCCCUCAAAUAUCGGUGACUUAUCUGAAUUCCUUAUCCCAGGAAAGGCUGAAUCGUUGAAUAUAUUCAAAGUGGAGAAAAAUGUAUGAUCUGUAAAAGAAUUGAGUGUAAUGGGACAGGGUGGGAGAGCAGAUUUGGAACGUUGUAUUAGCCAUGGUUUUAUUGAGCAUGAGAGAGGCUCAAGUGCUGAAUGGCCUGCUCCUGUUCCAACUUCCUACUGUCUCCGUCACACCAUUAACUUGUUUAAAGCUUAUUUUUUUAAAACAAACUGUCUAUUUUGAUAUAAUCUACAAAUUGCAACAUUUCUGCUUAUUAUUAAUUUGACUAUCUUGAUGUAAUCAGUGUUUUCUGUUGCACCAGUGACCAGUGGCCGUUGCAAUUUCAUUAUAUUGAGCAACCCCUAGUUAUUCAGAAUAUAAAUUACAGAGCAAAUAGAAGACACCAAGAAAAACCAACUGAAUCAGAAAGGCAAGGCUCGAGAAGACUGGAACUCCGACAAUGAACUACAGAGUUAGUGCUACACUCCUGCUGCUGCUUGGAAUUUGUGCAGCUUUGUCUAUGGCGGCUCAUAAAAAUAUCAAUUUAGGAUCACGAUGUAGGUGCAGUACGUUUCAAACAAAUCGCAUGUUCGUGGAUAAUAUUCAUAAAAUUGAAAUCAUCGCUGCGAACAAAGAGUGCAAUUACGUGGAAAUCAUAGCUCAUCAGAUUAACCCACGUAAAGAAGUUUGUUUGAGUGGGAAGGCUGCCUGGGUGAAGAUGCUUAUUAGUGACUUACUGACCAAAACUGCAAAGUAGGAUACAUUUUGAAGGGCUUCAUUGCCACAAUGGUAUCCUGAGGUGAUGAAACAGGUUUUAUACCUACAAAUGUUUUUUUGGUGAAGUGAUUUUAAUUCUAAAUAAAAAGGAUUGUAUCUCUGAUAAUGAUUUAAGCAUUAAAUACAUGGCAUUCUAAAAUGUAUUUGUCUGUUCCUAAAUAUAAUGCCAAAUCUUCUAUCUCUUCCCUAUAAGGGAAAGUCUCCAAUAUUAACUCAUAGAAUGAGGUUGACAGCAGAUCAUUCAGCACAGGUGUCUUUGCUGGUUAUGUAUAAGUGAUAUUCAAGUAUUCUCACCUCUAGCUCUUCAACUCCCAACCACCACCAAAACUCCGCCACCAUUUCAGGUAUUUUCAAAGCCAUGCAAAUUUCUCUGCUUUGAUAGUUCUGGAGGUGAUUGAGCUUUUCUGAUCUGAUGACAUUGUAAAUCCAGGGGCACGGUACUACACCCGACUCUGUUUUUCCAGACACAUCUUUCCAGCCACUGCUCCAUUCUUUUCAGGGUCUCUAUUGCUUUGUCAUUCGCCUUUUCUCUGUCGGUAACACAAGGAACAUUAAAUUAGAGUAACCAGAGAAAUGUGGACGAAUGGCCUUUAGUUUAAGAACAUACUUCAUAUUAUUUUCAGCUAUAAGCAGCAUUGCACAGCAAGAAAUGUGUCUGUCAAGAGCUUGCUAUAUUAUAUGUAUGAAAAACUGCGUGCGUGCAAGUUUUGUUAAUAAACUGCUUUGAAUCCAAUAAUCGUAUCCUGGUCAUCAUUUUAAAGAGACACAGGGAGAUUGAUAUGGAACACCAAAGUAUCCCCUCCACAUGUCCAAGGCAGUGCAAGGAGUGGUCUUGUGUGUUCUGUUGCUGAGGUACGAUUAGAUUUGUUCAGGUCAGUUCAAGAACCUGUCGGUGUAAGAGAGUCACUAUUCCUGAACCUGGUGUAGUGAUCGAUGAUUCUAACCAGGAGCGUCUAGGACCAGGGGUCGUAGCCUCAGAAUAAAAUGGUGUUUCUUUAGGAAGUAGAUAAGGAGGAAUGUCUUUAGUCAGAGGGUGGUGAAUCUGUGAAAUUCAUUGCCACAGAA